CUAAUUUAGGUAAGCGAAAAGGAGAAAGAGAAACCCUACGAAUCGUGAAGCUAAAACCCUUGUGGCAUUCGCAAGAUCUCUUCGUGUGAUUCUCAGAGAAAUGGCAUGGCGUGGUUCGAUCUCCAGGACAUUGAUGUCCGCCACAAGAAAUUCAUCUUUCCGCUCUACUCCGCCGCCCCUCCCUCGCCUCCGUCCUCCUCAGGUUUCCGCUCCCCGCGUCCACUCCAGCCGCCUCCGUAACCCUAGGACCUUGGGAGAAUUAGGAUGUGCUCAAUCUCUGAUGCCGAUGGUUGCCGGAGCUCGGCUGACGUCUCACCUCACUGUCAAUGUGCGCGCGUUCUGCGAGCUGUCUCAUGGUACCUUCUGCCGCUCUUGUCAGGAUCGCUAGUAGAUUGAAUGGAAAAGAUGGGUGAUUUCAAGCAAUUUCAAGCAUCAAAAGGCACUACAGACAUACAACAUUGUACUUGAGUGGUGAUUGGUUAAGCAAAGCUUUUUAAGAGGCAUUGAUAGUAAGUGGAUUCAUUGGAUGGAGCAGUUUUUGUGUUUGGAAUUGGAACAUUUAAUAAGAUUUAGAUGUUUUUACAUCUUUUUUCACCCUUUGGGCAACCUAAGGAUUGGUUUUUUUGAGACAUUUCAUGUAUAUUAUUUUAGUUAAUGUUCAUUUAUAUUUGGAUUUUUAAA
Molecule: RNA transcript, 681 nt
Organism: Lactuca sativa (garden lettuce)
Lineage: Eukaryota; Viridiplantae; Streptophyta; Magnoliopsida; Asterales; Asteraceae
Source: RefSeq, a predicted model, not a curated record